GACGAACGCUGGCGGCGUGCUUAACACAUGCAAGUCGAACGGUGAAGCGCCUUCCUUUUUGGUGGGUGUGGAUGAGUGGCGAACGGGUGAGUAACACGUGAGUAACCUGCCCCCUUCUUCUGGAUAACCGCAUGAAAGUGUGGCUAAUACGGGAUAUUCUGGGUCUGUCGCAUGAUGGGUCUGGGAAAGAUGUUGUUUCGGUGGGGGAUGGGCUCGCGGCCUAUCAGCUUGUUGGGGGGGUGAUGGCCUACCAAGGCGGUGACGGGUAGCCGGCCUGAGAGGUUGGACGGUCGCGCGGGUACUCAGACACGGUGCAGCCGAGUAAGGGAGGCAGCAGUGGCGAAUAGUGGACGAUGGGCGUAAGGCUGAUGGAGCGACGGCGUGUGAGGGAUGGACGCCGUCGGGUAGUGAGCCUCUUGCGUCAGAGAAGCAGGCCUGCUUUGAUGGUGGUGGGUUGACGGUAGCUGGAAAAGAAGCGCCGGCUAACUACGUG
This 493-nucleotide ribosomal RNA is filed under the name uncultured bacterium. Its description in RNAcentral is "partial 16S ribosomal RNA". It matches the Rfam family "Bacterial small subunit ribosomal RNA", at positions 28 to 507 of the family's 1533-position model. The record is from RNAcentral.